RNAcentral lists this long non-coding RNA (563 nucleotides) under Populus trichocarpa (black cottonwood). Its description in RNAcentral is "long non-coding RNA (PTRI_LNC002436)". Lineage: Eukaryota; Viridiplantae; Streptophyta; Magnoliopsida; Malpighiales; Salicaceae. The record is from RNAcentral.
UAAAGCCCAGGAAGGAAGUAAGUACUCAUAGAUGGGUGAAAUUAUUAGUCUACAGCUUAUAUAUGUGAGGUUCUUGAUAAAUUUGUCAUGCAUAAAGGCGCCACCCUUAAUGGGGCCUUGAAUAUCGAUCAAGAAGCCCUUGCCCCUUUUUUUUCCCUUUAGGAGGAUUCGAAGCAAUGAUCAGUGGCCGGCAAGUUUCAUCUACUGAAGGAAAUGUGUUUUUGAGUUGAGAUUUGGCAAGGAAAAGCGCACGUGACAUCUACGUGUCUUGAACGUACACGUGGACCAGUGAACAGGCCUCCAUGUGGAUCCAAUACGUGGCUGGUCAAAUUUCAGGACACAUUCAGAGGAUAUAUAAUAAAUUUGGGAUUGCCUUGCAGUGCAAAGUACAAGAGCUAGACUCGGCGCAUUUCCUUGGGAGAAUGAUAACAAGGAUCAAGAAAUGGGUAGGAGAUUUGGGAGGUUGAAGAGACUGGUUAGGCAACAGAGAGGGAAGCUUUAACUUACCAUGCUUCUUUGUUGGCACAAGUACACGCAGAAGCUAGCCUGCUAAGUACAUUUUG